RNAcentral lists this ribosomal RNA (707 nucleotides) under uncultured Bacilli bacterium. RNAcentral's name for it is "bacterial SSU rRNA". It matches the Rfam family "Bacterial small subunit ribosomal RNA", at positions 28 to 715 of the family's 1533-position model. Lineage: Bacteria; Bacillati; Bacillota; Bacilli. The record is from RNAcentral.
GACGAACGCUGGCGGCGUGCCUAAUACAUGCAAGUCGAGCGAAGUUUUUCUGGUGCUUGCACUAGAAAAACUUAGCGGCGAACGGGUGAGUAACACGUAAAGAACCUGCCUCAUAGACUGGGACAACUAUUGGAAACGAUAGCUAAUACCGGAUAACAGUAUUUCUCGCAUGAGAGAUAUUUAAAAGUUGGUUAUGCUAACACUAUGAGAUGGCUUUGCGGUGCAUUAGCUAGUUGGUGGGGUAAAGGCCCACCAAGGCGACGAUGCAUAGCCGACCUGAGAGGGUGAUCGGCCACACUGGGACUGAGACACGGCCCAGACUCCUACGGGAGGCAGCAGUAGGGAAUCUUCCGCAAUGGGCGAAAGCCUGACGGAGCAACGCCGCGUGAGUGAAGAAGGAUUUCGGUUCGUAAAGCUCUGUUGUUAGGGAAGAAUGGAUAUGUAGUAACUAUACAUGUAAGAGACGGUACCUAACCAGAAAGCCACGGCUAACUACGUGCCAGCAGCCGCGGUAAUACGUAGGUGGCAAGCGUUGUCCGGAAUUAUUGGGCGUAAAGCGCGCGCAGGUGGUUUAAUAAGUCUGAUGUGAAAGCCCACGGCUCAACCGUGGAGGGUCAUUGGAAACUGUUAAACUUGAGUGCAGGAGAGAAAAGUGGAAUUCCUAGUGUAGCGGUGAAAUGCGUAGAGAUUAGGAGGAACACCAGUGG